Molecule: ribosomal RNA, 466 nt
Filed under: uncultured bacterium
Lineage: Bacteria
Description: partial 16S ribosomal RNA
Rfam family: Bacterial small subunit ribosomal RNA
Source: RNAcentral
CUACGGGGGGCUGCAGUGGGGAAUAUUGGACAAUGGGGGAAACCCUGAUCCAGCAAUGCCGCGUGUGUGAAGAAGGCCUGCGGGUUGUAAAGCACUUUCGGUUGGGAGGACUGCUUCUAGCACUAAUAUUGUUGGAAGUUGACGUUACCUUCAGAAGAAGCACCGGCUAACUCCGUGCCAGCAGCCGCGGUGAAUACGGGGGGUGCAAGCGUGAAUCGGAAUUACUGGGCGUAAAGCGCGCGUAGGCGGCUAGAUCAGUUGGGUGUGAAAGCCCCGGGCUUAACCUGGGAACUGCAUCCGAUACUGUCUAGCUUGAGUACAGGAGAGGAGAGUGGAAUUCCACAUGUAGCGGUGAAAUGCGUAGAUAUGUGGAGGAACACCAAUGGCGAAGGCAGCUCUCUGGCCUGAUACUGACGCUGAGGUGCGAAAGCGUGGGGAGCAAACAGGAUUAGAUACCCGCGUAGUC